GAAGGUGCAAAAAACUUUAAAGAAAACUAAAGAAGUACUUGGAAGACAAGAAGUUUUUGCCUGUCUCCCAAAAGAUCUGUAUUUGGCUGCUUUUCCUCAUUGUUGUUCUUGAUUGCUUUUGUUUGCUCCUUGUUCAGUGCUAUUUUUUUUCCCCUGAGGCUUUCCCCUCCGCUUCCUCCCUGGAUACUGUGAUUCUCUGGCUGAAAUGUUAAGGAUGAUAUCUGUUUGCUGGCACUGGGUCCUGAGGGAGCCAAGGUUUUCUGAAUAAAAGCAUCCGAGAAAUGCUUUUGGAAGUGCUUGUUGCAGUACAGUCUGACCCUGGAGAGCUGAAUAGUCACUUCAGUAACAAGCAAGGAACUCCAGUCGUAAACAAUGGUUAUGUUUAGAAGAAAGGAAAUGCAGGGCCUGCGCUGGAUCAUGGACAUGGAAGUGCUGCUUCGCCUAUCUAGGUCAUGUCUGGAGAUGGCAAGAUUUGUUCUGGUGGUGAGGCUCGAUGCUUACUGGGAAAGUCAUCUGUGGUUGCUGCAGCUGCUGAUCUUCAUUGCUGGGACACUUCAUGUACAGGAGGGAGUUUGGAUCAACCUGCAAGAACCAGCCCUUUCCAAAGACCGGAGCUGGGAAACACUAGAGAUGGAGCUGGGCUGCUCAGGCAGUCACGUACAGCCAGGGACCACCUUGCAUUCUUGCUGGUGACGACGUAGUUUGGCUUUGCACGAUGGGGACAGGAGUGGUGAAAUGCACUAGGACUCUGGUGGCACUGAUAUACUGGUAUAUAUACCCUGAUAUACUGGUAGCUGCUUUCACUGUCUCUUUGCUCUGUAUUGCCUGAGAUUGGUAUCUCUGUAGUAUGAAUGUGACAUAUCCCUCAGUAUGGCAGGAGGCUUUGUUUAUGUGCGAGGCUGCAAGGCCCACUGGGCUAGUACUGGGGAGCUGUUCCUUCUCGAUGUCCAGCUGUUUGACUGUUGAUAUUCCUUUAUUGCUACAGCCUCAAAUUUACCUGACUCCUUUCUUGAAGCUAAAGUUGAGAAUGGGGUUGAAACCUGUUUCUUCUCAGCUUUUUCAUCUGAGUUUAGACAACCUGGAAAUACUUUGUGCUGGCAAGGAUUUUUUUUCUCUUUCAUGCUUCACCAUAGAACCAAGUUAAAUUUCUCUUGAUACUAGCUUUGUAGUGCAUUUGGGUUAAACAGAAGGCAUCAAUGUAAAAUUGCUUUUCUCUUUGGAGUCUUUUUCAUCCACUAGAGAAAAACAUAAAUCCAGAAACAAAUUCUAAGUGGAGAUGGCUUUUAUUUUAUUCCUUACCAUCCCUGUUCCUCUUCUCUAUUUUUUUAUUUGGUUACUUUGCCUUUAGCAAGACUUGUACCUUAGUCUUCCAGGCACAUGCUUCACCUGAAUAGCUCUGCUGAAGUCAGGAAGAAAUCUUCAGCUAGUGGGUAUAAGUACAGCUUGGUCCCAGGUAACUGAAUGAAGCCAGUUUGCAUUAGCUGUAGUCCUGUUCUUGCUUAUCAGUUUCUAAUUCAGCACUGAUUUCUACAUGGACAACUCAUUUUAUUACAAUUGAUCGUUCUUGCUUCUCUGCAGUUAGAGAAGAAGCUGCUCCAGGAGAGGUUAAAUAUUGUGGUGAUAGCACUUUCUGUAGGCAUUUCUCUUAAUUAAAGAAUAAAAUGAGAACAGUCAUGGCAAACACAGUGGGGAGGAGUCACAAGGUCAUCGAAGUAAUUCUGAUGACACAUUGAUACAGCAAGGUCUUGCUAAUGGCUUAGUGUUCAAGACAAUUCUUCAGCAUUCUGCAAGUCAGGGCAGUUCUGGAUAAUGUGCAUUUCUCAAUUAUGGAAGAGAUUGACAAGGCAGCAGGAGUCUCCAACUAGAAGAUUACUUCACAGUAGUUCAGUGAGGAGGAGUUUUGUUAGGAUUGUCCUAAGCGAGAGGCUGAGUAAACACUGCUUGACUCAGAGUCCCGGUGAAACUAUACAAUUUGCUCUUAGGGGAGUAGGAAGCAAAAUGAGCUGUGUGGGGUUUUUUUUUUCUUUUUUAAGGGGGGGCAUCAGGCAUGAAAAUGACUUUUAGCUGUCAGCUGGUCUUCCUAAGGCCUGGCUUACCCACAAGGAUGGCCUUAUAAUCACUGAUGUGACUGCAAAAGAAAAAAGUAGCUUCAUUGCUCUGUUUUGAAUGGCUAAUCUCAAUUCACUGCCAGAUGCUACUCUGGACAAGCUUUAAAGCAAUCCCUGCCCCCCCCCCCCCCCAACAGCUUCCUUUUCUCCUAUUAUAUUCAGAGUCAUUUCAUUCUGAGGUAAAUCCUCUGGUAUCUUGGGGCGGGGGGAGGGCGGGCAAUAAUCCAGGGCUCUGUUAAUUUUGAUGGAACUGCCUGCAUGCCUGUUUGCACAGUGUGUUACACGGUGAAACCCUACAUUUCCAAGGACUCUAAGCAGCCACUGGCCCGGCUGGAUCUCCCCUUCUUUCCGCUUGCAAUAUACGUGAGUUUUGUUAAGCUGAUAGCACGGCAGUCAAAAAAGACAGCCAUAGAUUUUUUUUUUUUUCCUUUCUAAAAGAUCUGUCAGUUCAGUUUACUUAUGCAGCGGCUCUACUCCAUGCUUCCAGCUUGCGUAUGGGCUGUUCAGACUGCUUUCUGCUGAACAGUCCUGCAUGUUCUGCAACUUAUGCUGAUUCGGUUAUAGCAGUGCAACCUAAUCCUGUUACUGUGUUGUUACUAACCAAUCAAAGCACUGUGCUAAAAUAAAGUAGCGAACAGCAAAUGCCUUUCCAAAGGCUGAAAUCGCAGUUACCUUUGUUCACUUACAGCUUUCUUACUGUCUGCUUUAUGCAAGGAAUGAGUUUGGAGUUAUUUGGGUGACAUUAAAGACAGCAGAGCACUUGAUCAGGGAGGAUGCUGAGCUCUGUCUUGUUCUCAGCUGUCUGUGUGUGCUGUGUAGGAAACUUGAGUGACUGAGGAAGGAAGAUGUUUCCACUUAAGAGCUGAAACUGUCAACAUCCUCUGUCAACAACUCCAGGAGUCAGCCACACGGCUGCCCCCUCAUGAAUUUUCUUCUUGAUAAGGCACCACUGGCAUAGUCAGAGGCUAGUGGUGUUAACUGUUUAUAUAGUAUAUGCGCACUGUUGCCAUAGGGUCUCUCUGUUUAGGCACCUUCAAAAAAUCUAACCUUGUGUCAAGGUGUUGUCUCAUUUCUUCCACCUUCAGUUCCUCAAGUUACUGUGUCAAAGUAUUAGCUUGAUUCUCAUGCGCAGGGUUUGCCUUUGUUUUGUGGACCUAGUAUUGGCAAAAUGAUCCAGUUUCUACAUACUGGGUAAACAAAGUAUGAGGCUAGAGCAGGCUCCAAUGGAGAUGUUGGAAUGGAGGCGCCAAGUUUCAAGCAUGUUUUGGCUUGAAUUAAGCCAGCUAUUAAUUAAAAACCAGCAGCAAAUCCCCUGUCAGCCUUAAUCAAACACAGCCCUGCAAUGGUCCCAGUUGCAACAGCACUACCAAGAACAGAAACAAAAAGCAGAUGGAGGUUCUUGUACAUUGAAAGCUUCUCUUGUUUUCUGAAGUUUAGCAGUUGACCUAAUAAAAGGUACUCCCUCAAGAAAAUCAGAAAGAAGAGGGAGGAUUUAGUAGCUGUUGUCUGCCAGUGAUUUUGCGGGCCUAAUACGGGAUAUUAAUAUCUUCUGGAAAACUGACUUGGUGGUUUUGCUCUCAAGAGCUGUAUUUUGGCUACUGGAGAAGGAUUUGGAGCUGACAACAGGUCUGUGCUGUGAGAGUUCGGCACCUACCAUGCAAAAGCAUUGUGCCCACACAGCCCAACUCCUAGCCUGGGCAGAGGGACAUGAGCACUGUUCAGUGCAUGGGACCUCAGGUAUGCUACAUUCCUGGCUGCCAUUUCGCAUUUAGUGAGGUUUGUCUAACUGGAAUCUAUCCUUGGACAUUCCACAUCUUUAAAAAUGGCCUGCUUUUAGAUACCUAGCUUUUAAGAAUCGUGACCUAGAAGCCUGGUUUAAAGUUAAGAAAUUUUGGGUUCACAUGAAUAGGUAGAUUUUCCUCUAUAGAAACCCACUUGUACAGAGAAGAGCCAAGAUAAGAUUGGUGUGCAGUCUAAUAACUGAUGGUUGUAAAGGCAAGUGAAUCUGACUGAAAUCCAGUGUUGAUGGAUAUGUUUGAGCAGCCUGUAUCUUGUGAGAAAAGAGCACUCAAACUUGGGUACAAGUCAAUUGUGAUGUGUGAUGGAUUAUGCUGCAUUUGCCUUUUCCUCAAACACAAGCUUAAAUAUGCCUUUCCUUAAUAUUUGGAAGAAACUGUUUACAAUUAUUAUAAUGUUAAAUAUUUAAAAUAUUGCUAAUAUAUAGGAAGAUACCUGUAUGUGACUAUGAGUAAAAGCAUGAGCUAUCAUCUUUGGAGCUGUGCUUGUAAAGGGUAAUAAUAGAACUUUAUACCAAAGUUGCAACCUUUUGUGACUUUGGUAUAUAGGCUUGGGCUUUCACCAUCCAACUUGCACAGCCCAUAGGCAACCCCUUUUUGUUUCCCAAAGGUGCUUGCAGAGAGCAACUGUGAAAGAGUCACAAAGCCCUGCCUCAGGGACUGGAAUCUCAAACUCGUGGCCUGAAAGGUAGGAGGAAGUAGGGGGACGUGCGUGAGAUGCUGCACCAGGAGGUGGUACAGCCAGUUAGACACCAAGAGUAGUGGCCUAUAAACACUCUGCCCUAGGUUAGAGAGGGUAUCUGGGCUAUGGAGCUUGCUCAGGAUUUUCUGGUUAAGUCCCAAAACUGUUGGAAGGAAGCUGACCUGAGCCAGGAUCCAGAGACCAGUAUGUAUGAGUAGACUUUAGCCACAUUGUGAAAGUGGCGAUGUCCUCUCAGGAGCUUUCUAUCUCAAUAUGAAAUUAGGAUUGAUAUGGAUUAAGUGGCUUUUGUAGUUUAGUUCCUUGGCAGGUACCUUGGUAACUGGAUGCUCUUGUAGAAAAAGAGGUGAAGACCAUGCUUGGCUCAUUGAUGACUGAAGAACUGACAUCAUUCCGGUGUCCAAACGUGAAAGCAAAUACCAUUUCCUGCAUUGACUUCAGGUAAGUGCCUGUUGUAUUCUGUGCCUCACUCGACAAGUUUGGGGGCAUCUAGGAAAAGCAAGGUGCAUGUCUGAACUCACUCUACAAAGAGAAGGUGGCAAUUUUGACUUCUGGGUGGGAUCUGAAAAGUUACUGCUUUUGUGACACCACUUAACUUCUUUCAGAUAGGAAAAGCCAUUUGGCUUACCUGGGGCCAGAGCCCCUUUUUGCAGUCUAAAGGCUCAGUUCUUGAGGCCUUGCGUGCUGCCUCCUGCCAUCAGCUUAAAGGAUAUCUGUAGCCAGGAGCGGUGCCUCCUGCAAAACACAAAUUUCCCCUGCAACCCAAGCUGAAUGAGCUGUGGAUUGCUGAGAAACUUAGUAUCUUGGCUCUUCUGAUGCAAUGACUGCCUUGCUGUCCUUACCUGCCUCAAGAGCAAAAAGACGAAUACAUCCUUCCUGUGGCUAGUGAACUAGCUAGGCAGGUCAGUCCACGUUUUGUUCAGGAGGCAGGUGGGGAGAAACAUUGAUCCUAAGCUGGAAGUUAUUGCCUCACAGGAUUAAUAGUACUUCACUAUUAAGAAAGAAUUCCUGGCAGCCAAAUGAACAGGGACUCAUGGAGCAGCCAAUGGAGGGUGCCUAGGGAAAGCUCUAUAGGGAUUUUUCUUCCACUAUAUUCACUAAUCCCAUUUUAAACUGCAAAACGUGACACUUUACAUACCUUGCAGGAAGGUGUCCCAUACCUUGCCUGUUCACUAUAUGGCAGAGUAUCUUCUUGGUUGUGUUUUAAACCUGCUAGUCUUGUGUCUUGUUUGAAGUCCCCAAGUUCUUGUCGUUAGAAGAAACAAUGAAUAGUCAUUCUCUGUGCACCUCCUCAGUUCCACACGUUACUUAAAGGUCUCACUCCCCUCCCUCUGCACCUUUUUCAAGCUGCAGAAUCCUAGUCCCUUCAGUCAGCCCAUAUGCAGAAGGAACAGCUAUUCUGUUCCUUUGGUCAGCUGUGUUGUCUUUUUUGAAACCUUUCAAUUUCUCUGUUUUGAGAUGGAGAAAUGGGGAACCAGAACUUCUUGCAGUAUUUAGGAUACAGGUGUGCUGUGGAUUAAUUCUAUAACAUGUCUGUUUUCUACUUGUUUCUCUAUUCUGUUUCCAUGUAAUUCCUAGGGUUUUUCUUGGUUUUUUACUGCUACUGAACUGAUAUUCUCGUAGAACUCUUUGCCUCAAUCUUGUUCCUGAAAAGAAUAACCAACUCAACACCUAUUGCUUUGUAAGGUUAGGCCUCUUUUUCUGUAUGUGUGGCACUUCACACCUACCUGUUCCCAAGUUCAUCUGUUUCCCCAUACAGUCCUUCAGAAUUAUGUUUCUUCAGCUUGCUGUGUUUAAUUUUCCUUUCUACUGCUAUGAGUAGAUACCAUGGGGAAAAUCAUCAUCUCACUAAUUACUUCUCUUUUCUAGACCAUUUAUGAAUAUACUGAAUAGCAGAAAUUCCUGUGAGAUCAUGAUCUGGCUGCUUUAUUUGUUCUCUCCAAUUGCUCUCUUUUAACCAGUUUCCCAUCUUAAGCCUUCUUAUCGCAUGGCAGCUCAGUUCCUUUAAGAGGCUUUUGUGAGAGACCUUGUUUAAUGUGUUUUGGAAAUCUGAAUAGGCAAUAUUAGCCAGACCUCCCUUUGGCUGGUUGACUCACUCUGGAAUUUAGGUAGCUUUGCAAGGCAGGACAAAGGCUGUGAUGAUUCCAUCUCAUGUAGCACAUUUAUGGAAAUACCUGCUACUUCUGUUGUUUAGAGUCACUUGUACUAAUGUGGUCAGCAAAGAGAGCAUAGUUCACUGUCAGAAGUUCUCCAUGUUUGGUCUAGAACAUUUUUUAAAAGACUUCUCCCAGUCCUCUGGGAGAUAAAGUAGAGUUAGGUGAGAAAUUGCAUGCCAUUGUCAGUCAGUCUGUUUUUCCGUCUUUCACCCUGGGCGAGUACUGCCUGGGCUUGGUCACUUGUUACUCUUCAUUUUGUUGUUGGCUUUUCCCUCAUAGUCUCUUCUACUGACACUUCGGAUCAGCUAGAUGGUUCUACUUUGAACCUGCCUAACUGGGUUUUUGCAGUUCCUCUGCCUGAAUUUAUAAUCAUUUCCAUUUUUUCAGCUUUUCUGACGUACUCUUUCUUUUUCCCCAAUGUUUUUUUUGCCCUGAUGUUUAGCAUUGGGCUUUCUCAAGGCUUUUUUCUUAGAUAGGAAGGAUGUAUUUGAUAUAAGACUAACACAAUGUCUUUAAAUAGUCUCUGUGUCUCCUGAAAACAAUCAGUUCUUCAAGGUGCCCCUUUAAUGUUCUUAUUGAUUUAUUUUUCCAUUUUUUUAUGUGGUGGCUCUCUUUGAAAUUGAGCAUGGUAGUAGUGGAUGUUGUGACUUUGGGUCUCCCUGUAAAAAUGUUGUUGUAGUCCAAGUAUUUGGCAAUAAUAUCAUAAACUUAUCCUGCCUGCUUGUCAGGGCUGAAACAAGUGUUGCUUCCUAUCUUGUGGGUUCCCUGACUACCAGUUCUUGAAUCAGUCACUAACAGUGUGUAGAAAUCUAGUGUUAUCUCAGUACUCAAUGUCAAGUUUUCACAUGUUACCUGAGAGUAAUUGAAAUAAUUGUUCCCUGAUAUUUCAGCAUUCCACUGUCUUCCUGCCACCAAGUUUCCUUUAUGCCUAUUGUGUCCAUGUCCUUGUUUAAGUUAAGCUUUCUGGGUGUGCACCACCAUGUUUCUUAGUCAAUUCUGUAAAACAUGAGAAUUGCUGCUUUGGCCUUGUUUCUCUCUAUCCUAUUUACAUGGGGCUCUUUUUAGACUUCAGUUUCCUACUUGAUUUUUGCCAACUUCUGUCCUAUUCUGUACUUGAGGAUGUGGCAUCUACCUUAGGAUUCAGAACAGUGCAACUUCUGUGCCAGUCUGCUCUCCUACUUUUCAAUCUAAAGUUCUGUAUAGUCUUCCUGAUGUGAGGUGCAGAUGUUGUUUCCCUCUCAGUUCAGGGGAAAUCUGGCCAUCCUUUGUUAGGGUCUUGCUACUCCAGAAAUUUCCCCAGUCCCUGCUGAAUCUGAACUUCUCUCCCUGACACUGUUGCUUUAGUCACACAUUGAGACUUUGCCUCCCUACCAGCUGCAGCCCAUGUAGGACCAUAGGGGUCUUGGUCUCCCUACCUGACAUCCUACAUUCUGCCUCCAGAAUCUCUCUCCUUCCCUUGCUUUUAUCUGUGUACUCGCAUGGACUACAACCGCUGGCUCCUCAGCAGUCUUUCACAACUUGUCCAGCCUCCUUGUGAGGCUCAUUAGUGUUAGACCAGAAGGCACGUAAUACGCGAGCCAAACCAGUUAGGUACCUGGGAAUUGAAUCACCAAUGGCCAUUGCCUGUGCUUUCCUUCCAACUGGGGUUUCUGCCCCAGGGGAGUAUUGGCAGCAAAAGAUGUGUAGUCACUUUCCACAAAGAAGGACCUGUGACCUGGAUUAUUGCAUCCUUCACCAGUUUGAUGCCUUUCUUUCAUAAAACUAGCUCUAGAACAGCUUUUCUGUGCCCCUGAAAGCUGCCUCAGUUACCCUCUCUGCUUUAGCAGCACUGGGUCAUUUUGCCUGCAGGUGAGACUGUUCAGGGAUUCCCAUGAGGCUUCUAUGUCAUGGUGCAUUUUUCACCUGUGGAGUGAUAAAGUCAAAAAGAUGGGCUCUGUCUCAGAGGACUGUGGGCUGCCUGAAGUGAAUGAGUAUCUACACCACCUACACGCUGGCCAGGUAAUUGUAUGAUGACACUUGAUGCGUUACCCUCCAAAAUUCUCACCCUCUAGCAAGGCUUCUGCCCGUAUUUCUCUUGCGCACUUGGCCUGACUCAAUAGAAGUGUGCCCUUAUAGGAGGGCAAUGUAGCUUCCAGUUAAAGCACUGAGAAGCAAUUACAUAAUAUGUGUUAGUAGCAACUGUAUUCAUAAUGUUUCAGAAAAAAUUAUCCUGAGACCUUGACUGAACCCAAACAAUGAGAAGCUGAGGCUCAGCUUUGGCAUGUGCUUCAUUCAAAAGAAGCUGACCUUCCCAGAAAGACAGUGUUCCUAUUAGGUGGGUGUGGACUGAAUGUCGCCUGGGAGGAAGAGAUCCAGCCAUGUAGGAUGUGUUGGGAGCAAUGUGUUUCUUGGCUGGCAAGCCCUGGGCUGGAGAGGUGUCAGAUAAGGACAAUUCAGGAUGGAGGGGAAGAAUCUCUAGGUAUUAGAAACUUCCUUGCAAUAAAACAAAGAAAAUCUGUACCGUGCACAUCUGUGGUGUUCUAUACUCUGUAUUUGCCCUCCACAACAAAUCUCUCUGUAUGUAUCUCUAUCUUAAGAGUUAAUUUAGUGGAACUGCAAAACUUAAAUUUGAAAAAAGGGUUGCCAAUCAGAGAAGACUGAGAAAUGCUACCUUAGGUUCAAG
Dromaius novaehollandiae (emu) is the source of this 9422-nucleotide long non-coding RNA. RefSeq lists it as uncharacterized. Lineage: Eukaryota; Metazoa; Chordata; Aves; Casuariiformes; Dromaiidae. The transcript has 3 exons. The record is from RefSeq and is a predicted model, not a curated record.